This 842-nucleotide ribosomal RNA is filed under the name uncultured Gammaproteobacteria bacterium. RNAcentral describes it as "bacterial SSU rRNA". It matches the Rfam family "Bacterial small subunit ribosomal RNA", at positions 35 to 873 of the family's 1533-position model. Lineage: Bacteria; Pseudomonadati; Pseudomonadota; Gammaproteobacteria. The record is from RNAcentral.
GCUGGCGGUAGGCUUAACACAUGCAAGUCGUGCGAGAAAGUAUCUUCGGAUAUGAGUAGAGCGGCGGACGGGUGAGUAACGCGUAGGAAUCUACCUAGUAGAAGGGGAUAGCCCGGGGAAACUCGGAUUAAUACCGUAUACCUCCUUAGGGAGAAAGAAGGCCUCUCUUGAUGCUUUCGCUAUUAGAUGAGCCUGCGUAAGAUUAGCUUGUUGGUGAGGUAAUGGCUCACCAAGGCUACGAUCUUUAGCUGGUCUGAGAGGACGAUCAGCCACAUUGGGACUGAGACACGGCCCAGACUCCUACGGGAGGCAGCAGUGGGGAAUAUUGGACAAUGGGCGCAAGCCUGAUCCAGCCAUACCGCGUGUGUGAAGAAGGCCUUCGGGUUGUAAAGCACUUUAAGCAGGGAGAAAAAGUUAUAAGUUAAUACCUUAUAACCGUGAUGUUACCUGCAGAAUAAGCACCGGCUAAUUCCGUGCCAGCAGCCGCGGUAAUACGGAAGGUGCAAGCGUUAAUCGGAAUUACUGGGCGUAAAGCGCGCGUAGGUGGUUUGUUAAGUUGGAUGUGAAAGCCCUGGGCUCAACCUAGGAACUGCAUCCAAAACUAACUCACUAGAGUACGAUAGAGGGAGGUAGAAUUCAUAGUGUAGCGGUGGAAUGCGUAGAUAUUAUGAAGAAUACCAGUGGCGAAGGCGGCCUCCUGGAUCUGUACUGACACUGAGGUGCGAAAGCGUGGGUAGCGAACAGGAUUAGAUACCCUGGUAGUCCACGCCGUAAACGAUGACAACUAGCUGUUGGGAAACAAUGUUUUUCAGUGGCGCAGCUAACGUUUUAAGUUGUCCGCC